GCUACUGCUCUUUGUUACUACUCUGAGAGUAGUGAUCAAUUAGAAAUCAACCGCAUCGAAAGUAAGAACAUGUCUGAGUAUCUGGUGAAUCUUUUAAUUUCAAACCCUGAAAUUCUGCCAAUAGGUAUCGGCAUGAUCAGGUAUCGUGACACAUGUGCUGAAGCCAUUCGUUUCUUCAAAAUGAAAAGCCCUAUUACCGAAAUAUCUGAUGCCUGCAGAAAGUUACUUGAAGUUAGUUGUGAGGAAUUGUUGCCUAGUAUAGUGAAAGGGGAUCAAUCCAAAUCUGUACUCUUUGAUGGUUGUAGACUUGCAUUAGCUUUGAGAAAGAUGAAAAACAGGGAGAUAAUGUGGAAAGUGAUGAGUCAAGUAUGGAUCGAGAUUCUGGCUUAUGCAGCUGCUCACUGCAGAGUGUUCCACCAUUCACAGCAGCUUGGGAGAGGGGGAGAAUUUCUGACUCAUGUUUGGCUUUUGAUGGCACACUUAGGAAUGACAGAGCAUUUCCAGGUAACUCAUGGCCAUGCAAGAGCUAGGUUCAAUGUUUCAUAGGCAUAGCUUGGGAUUAGCAUUUCAUUUGCUUUAAUACUUAUGUAGAUUAACCAUUCUAUUUGUUUGUUUUCUAUUUUCGUAAUUGAAAAAGUUGUGCCUUUCUGCCUAAGUUGGCACACAUUCACUGUCUGUACAUUAAUUAUCCAAUUUUCAUAUUUUUUUGUUCAAAAUUUUAUUGUAUAAUAAUAAUGUUCUUUCAGAAAUUUUUACUCUUGGGUUUCUAAAUAUGUCUUGCGUAAGUGAAAAAGUCAUGAAUGUGUAAUGUUAUAGUGGGUGAUACUGGUUCAAUCUUUUCAAAGUUAUAUCUAGGAAUAUAGUUCAUGUACAACACCUUUCCAAUUUCAUUUUUGCAAAGAGACUGUUUUAUGACUCAAGGAGAGAGCAAUUUCACACAUAAUUAGCUGUAACAAUGUAAGUAAGUGAGGUGAAAAUCUAACACCCAAUAUUAGAGCCCACACUAGGUGGACCUUCACCGGGUGUGUGUAGUGUGUGCUCUACUGCUCUAGAGACCAUGUUUCAGAUACUGACCAACCUCAAUACUGCUCUACUAUGUUAGUUACUACUUAGGGAAAAUGAAUUAAAAGCCCAAUGAAGUUUCCAAACCAUUCAAACAACCUCAAUCAUGUUUUGUAUUAAAAAAAACCCAACGAACUUAACUUUUUGUCUAAAAAAUCCAACAAAGUUCCAAACAGUUCAAAAAAUCCCAAUUUUGUUUUGUUUAAAUUCGUUGGAUUUUUUUUGAACAGUCAAAACAUGAUUGGAGUUCUUUAAACGUUUUGGAAACUUCGUUGGUCUAACAAGUCAUUUUCCCCAUACAGUAAUAAGCUAUGCCAUAUGUUUCUCUUAUUUGACUUUCAGGAAAGUGUAACUUAGUUAAGCUUUUUAGACAAAAGGUUAAGUUUGUUGGGUUUUUUUGAACAGACAAAACAUGAUUGAGUUUCUUUUGAACGGUUUAGAAACUUCAUUGGGCUCGUAAGUCAUUUUCCCUACUACUUAUGAUCAACAUGAUUGUCUUAUCGUUCCAUUUUUUACGACUUGUAAGUUGUAACACACUUGAUAUAUUGUUGAAAACAUGCAUCAAAUUUUGUGUGAUCAACCAUUGAAAUAUUUGGUGGGACAGGUGUAAGGUAAAAAGGGUUGUUGAAUUAGAAGUUGGAUGCAGAGUAUAUGUUUAUGGAUUUUCAAGCUUCUUAAUUAAAAAUUUUAAAAGCUUGUAAAAGUGCACUUAACUUACUGUUUGAAGUCUAAAUUGCAUAACAUGUUCGAUUAGCUCCAGACCUCCAGUAUAUAUUGUAUCGGUUCAUUGAGUUGCCAUCUGGACAGAAUAAAACCUGAGUCAUGUUUCAAGAGUCACAGAAAUUAACCAGUACUUGUAAAAUUAAGAAUAAUGUCUUUUGGGCUUUUCUACUCAAUUCUUUAAAAGCCACAGGCUCUUGAUGCACUAGGGUCACAAUUUUACUACAAGUAAACAAUGAAGAGAACAAAAGAAAGGGAACUUGUGGUGGAUGCAAGUAAAAAACAACUCUAAACCUAUUCUGAAAAUAAGUAACUGAAACGAAACACAGAGUGACUUGAAAUCAAACCUGAAGAUUGAAUUUUGUUUGGAUCAAAAGUAGUUGGCUAUCAUGCUUAUACUCAACAUUAAGACCAGACUAACAGGUGUAUCGUGAUAUAGAGCAGUGGGUGAUUGAUGCCUUAAAAGGCUUAAACUAAACCAGAUGGGUUCGAGAAAACUAUAUCGAUUAUUUUUUUGCUCUCGGUCUGCCUAAACAAGCAGAUAACCGAAAUUCCGCACAUGGGGGGAUACCGGGAUGCUACUAUUCAUGAACGCCGGAAAGCUGAAGUCUACCAUUUAGACAAGAAAACGGUAAAAAAAAACUAGAAAACGGGUGAACAGAAACACUGAAGCAUGAGCUUACAAACCGAAGGUAGCACGGUGUAGAUAAAGAGUUGAUAACUCACAGUUAUGCAGAGGCAAUCUCUGGAUGAACCAUGGGAAGCUGAAACCAUGAAUUAUGAACGUUCGUUUAUACUUCAAGAUGAUAAUAUCUACAACUGUAUUAUAUAGAAAACAACGAAAAAUCAAGCGUUUUUGUCUUUAUGCAUAUAAUACCAAGUCGUGGUUGACCCAAGUCAAGUUUAUCAUUGCUAAUAGUCUAGUCUUUUGAAGCUUUCCGUUAGCUUUCAUCCACCAGGAAAGC
This 2747-nucleotide long non-coding RNA is filed under the name Lactuca sativa (garden lettuce). RNAcentral's name for it is "long non-coding RNA (LSAT_LNC001011)". The record is from RNAcentral. Lineage: Eukaryota; Viridiplantae; Streptophyta; Magnoliopsida; Asterales; Asteraceae.